CAGGAACAGAUGAACACUUAAGAAACAAAGAUCCUGUUUUCAUGCAAAUGUCUUUUGUCAUCAAGAACAAGGAGCUCCAGAAGAUGAUUCACACCAAGUUCGGAAUCACCCUUGUGAAGUGCCUCACUGACCACAGAAGGAAGGGAGUGAUGAACAUUUAUAAAGGGCAAUGUCUACCUGUGCAUA
Cyanistes caeruleus (blue tit) is the source of this 186-nucleotide long non-coding RNA. RefSeq lists it as uncharacterized. The record is from RefSeq and is a predicted model, not a curated record. NCBI's taxonomy places the organism in Eukaryota, Metazoa, Chordata, Aves, Passeriformes, Paridae.